CUUCCUUAGAACUGUCCAGGCAUGCUUAAUUUUUGUUGGAAUGAUACAGAGAAGAUUAGUGUGGCCCCUGCACAUCAAAGAUGACACGCACAUUUCUGAAGCGUUAGGGUUAGAG
This 115-nucleotide small nuclear RNA is filed under the name Ophiophagus hannah (king cobra). Lineage: Eukaryota; Metazoa; Chordata; Lepidosauria; Squamata; Elapidae. The record is from RNAcentral.